RNAcentral lists this microRNA (16 nucleotides) under Macrophomina phaseolina MS6. RNAcentral's name for it is "miR-546". The record is from RNAcentral. Lineage: Eukaryota; Fungi; Ascomycota; Dothideomycetes; Botryosphaeriales; Botryosphaeriaceae.
UUGGUGGAACGGAGUC